CUACGGGAGGCAGCAGUCGAGAAUCUUCCGCAAUGGGCGAAAGCCUGACGGAGCGACGUUACGUGAAUGAUGAAGUCCUUCGGGGUGUAAAGUUCUUUUAUGUGGGAAUAAGUUAUUGAAGGUACCACAUGAAUAAGGGGGUGCUAAUUCUGUGCCAGCAGCAGCGGUAAUACAGAACCCCCAAGCGUUACCCGGAUUUAUUGGGCGUAAAGGGUCCGUAGGUGGUUUUGUAAGUCUUCAAUUAAAGCUCAUCGGCUCAACCUUUGAGAUCGUGAAGAUACUGCAAGACUAGAGGGCGUUAGAGGCUAACGGAACCGACGGAGUAGGGGUGAAAUCCGUUGAUAUCGUCGGGAACACCAAAUGCGAAGGCAGUUAGCUGGGGCGACCCUGACACUGAGGGACGAAAGCGUGGGUAGCGAACAGGAUUAGAUACCCGGGUAGUC
RNAcentral lists this ribosomal RNA (443 nucleotides) under uncultured bacterium. RNAcentral's name for it is "partial 16S ribosomal RNA". It matches the Rfam family "Bacterial small subunit ribosomal RNA", at positions 339 to 795 of the family's 1533-position model. The record is from RNAcentral.